GUGUGUAUGGUGUAAUCAACACGUUAGCUUUUCAUGUUAAAAAUAUAUGUCUAUAUUACACAC
RNAcentral lists this transfer RNA (63 nucleotides) under Amynthas distichus. RNAcentral's name for it is "tRNA-Glu". The record is from RNAcentral. Lineage: Eukaryota; Metazoa; Annelida; Clitellata; Crassiclitellata; Megascolecidae.